AGUGCAGUGCUGUUCUUUGAUUAGAACUCUUACUUAAAGGUUCCAUGUCCAAUUUUGUGUACAUGCUUAGGGUCACAUGCAUGGGGACAAGAUGCGUGAAGCGAAUUACAGAGCAGCCAUGCAGAUAUUUCAGAGAGUGAAUACUUCACUCCUGCCUCAGAAUAUUCUAGAUCUCCAUGGACUGCAUGUGGAUGAGGCCCUUCAUCAUCUUAGUCAGGUUCUCACAGACAAGAAUUUAGAAUUCAGUCAGGGUUUGUGUGAGGCUCAGCUGUCAAUCAUCACAGGAAGAGGCAAUCGCAGCCAAGGGGGAGUGGCACGCAUCAGGCCUGCUGUACUAGACUACCUAAAAAAUCAUCACUACAGUUUUGCUGAGCCUAAGACUGGACUGGUGCUGGUCACACUUCAUUAAGAGCUGCUACAAUGAAACAUUUACUUUUAGAUUUCUCUCUUUCCACUGCCUUAAUCCAAAGUGUCUUCUCUGCUGACUAAUAGUGCCAGUAAUUAUACUGUUCUUUUGUCUUUUAACUACAUACACCAUUUUCAUGUCUUUCUGUAAUUGUGCAAAAGUUUAUCCAAGUCAUAAAAAUCAACGUAGGCUACUACAUAUUUACACAGUGUUUUAUAAUGCAUUGACCUGUACAUACAUAUUAUUCUUUAUUGAAUGUUUAUUGAUGCAUCCUUAUCCCACUAACUCACUAACUUGGCCCUUCCAG
This is a long non-coding RNA of Sinocyclocheilus anshuiensis, 713 nucleotides long. RefSeq lists it as uncharacterized. The transcript is spliced from 3 exons. The record is from RefSeq and is a predicted model, not a curated record. Lineage: Eukaryota; Metazoa; Chordata; Actinopteri; Cypriniformes; Cyprinidae.